This 432-nucleotide long non-coding RNA is filed under the name Canis lupus familiaris (dog). RNAcentral describes it as "lncRNA (ENSCAFG00000050435.1, ENSCAFG00040023514.1, ENSCAFG00805016073.1)". The record is from RNAcentral. Lineage: Eukaryota; Metazoa; Chordata; Mammalia; Carnivora; Canidae.
AUGACAGUGGCAGGGUGCCCAGCCAGGACAUGGACAUCAGCCAUGGUUCUAAGUUCUCUGCAAGUGUGUGAGUGUGUGUGUAGGGGCUGGGGAUGGGGCUGGAGGUCAUUCACAGAUCAGAGCACAGGAGGGGAGAGAGAGCUCCUGAGGGUAGGACUGCUGGUCAUUCACACCCUACGCCCUGGAGCCCUGAGGACCUGUCACUCGGACCCACCACCAGCCAGAGCAGCAUCAGUCACUGACCAGAGGAGCCCAGAAGCCACAGGAGUGCCCACAUGGCUGGUACAUUGGAGACGCUCUGGAAUAAAUACACCUGGGCCUUUGAAAACGGAGUCCUUGGUUCAUGUCCAGAUGGAAGCCUCUGAGGUUAGCAGGACCCCUCGCUGCCUACAACCCGGGCCUGGUAGCUCUCUCAGGGUAUCUAUUCUGUGA